Molecule: ribosomal RNA, 313 nt
Filed under: uncultured bacterium
Lineage: Bacteria
Description: bacterial SSU rRNA
Rfam family: Bacterial small subunit ribosomal RNA
Source: RNAcentral
GAUGAACGCUGGCGGCGUGCUUAACACAUGCAAGUCGAACGGACUUAUGUUGAAACCUAGUGAUAUAUAAGUUAGUGGCGGACGGGUGAGUAACGCGUGGAUAACCUGCCAUAUACAGGGGGAUAACACUUAGAAAUAGGUGCUAAUACCGCAUAAGCGCACAGUUUCGCAUGAAGCAGUGUGAAAAACUCCGGUGGUAUAUGAUGGAUCCGCGUCUGAUUAGCUUGUUGGCGGGGUAACGGCCCACCAAGGCGACGAUCAGUAGCCGGCCUGAGAGGGUGAACGGCCACAUUGGGACUGGGACACGGCCCAA